RNAcentral lists this long non-coding RNA (5185 nucleotides) under Nicotiana tabacum (common tobacco). Its description in RNAcentral is "long non-coding RNA (NTAB_LNC014711)". The record is from RNAcentral. Lineage: Eukaryota; Viridiplantae; Streptophyta; Magnoliopsida; Solanales; Solanaceae.
AGUACAAGAGGGGGUAAAUUAUUUAUUUUUAUAUUUUAAUAGCUACUAGUUGACUAGUUUUCUAAUUAGUCGACUAGAUGUAAUAACGAGAUAAUAAGAAAAGCAGAAAUUAAGAUGCAGAAAUAAAGUGCGGAAAUUAAAGACACCGAAAUUUUUAUACUUGUUCGGAUUCAAUGUGAAUCCUAGUCCAGUCCCCUUGGAUUGCAAGGGAGUUCUCUUUCAGUGAAUGAGUUUCUGGAGUACAAUCGUGAAUGGUGUGGUUUACACCAAUUGCUCGGUUUCUAUGUCACUCGUUUUUUUUUUAUACAAUGUCUCACCAGUAUUUUUCUCUCUUUUUUCUCUAACUUGUUACACAGCAGAUCUAAUAGAGCUACAAUAUUUGUUUGUAGUAGAACAAAGAGAGGGUAGUUGGUUCGAUCAAAGUAUAUUUUUCUAAGGCUUAAGGAUGUGUAUAAAUACUUUGUAAGAGGCCGUUGCUGAAGAGAUUUGCCAACCCAAGAGAUUUGAUCCUUGGAAAGAGAUUGAUUCUUUCCAAGAAUAAGGUUAUUUGCCGUUGCUCUUCCUUGAUGAAAUGACUUUAAUACCUUUCCUUCUAUAGGUCUUGAUAGCGCCGGAUUUACUCCUUGAUUUUUGGUCCUUCCAGUAAUAGCAACUUGAUUGAUCAUCUUGCAAGAUCUUCGAUACUUCUUUUCCGUUUCAAUCAAUCUCGGAUUGAUUUCCUUGUCUUUGAUUGAUUCCUUCAAUCUUGGAUGCUUUCCUUGAGUUCCUUUAAUUGAUUCCUCUAAUCUUGGAUGCUUUCCUCGAGUCCCUAUACCAAGAGAAAUUAUAUUAUUUUCAUCAAUAAAACUAAAAUCUAACAAAUGCCACGAGCCUUUACGGAGGGAACCGUAGAGCGCAGCGACUUUGAUUACUGGUUGAGCUGCCAUUGCCACUGCUGCUUGCUUUUCUACUCUGGAUAUUCUUUUUUCUUUUUCUGAAUUGUCACAUAAUAUUUUGAUGGCUUUUCAUCACAUACUUAUAUAGGAGAACUCAGAAGGCCUGACGGAUGCGAUGGCGAACCGUCAGAUUUAAAACUGAAAGGUACUGUUAGACUCUCAUCUUUCUCAUGAAUCAUUACAUCUUUUUUGGAUAGCUAUCAAUUUGAAAAGAAAAAAAAAACGUUAAUAGAUUAAUCCUUAAUUUCCAAUCCAUCAUAGAAUAACUAAAAUACAAAAUAAAGAUAGUUUUUUUUUUAAAAAGAAAGUGAUACUCAAAUUUCAAAUACAGAGCCCCGCGUUUAGCUAACCUAAAGUUUUUUUUAAAAAAGGAAAACUAAUCUAAAGGGUAUCAUCCACCACUUCUGUGUCCAAACAAAAAAAUUGUCGUGGAUGUGGCUAGGGGUGUCAAUGAAUAUUUAAAAAUCGACUAAACCGAUCGAACCGUACCGCACCGAAUCGUUUUUUAGGUUUUUUUAAAUAAAACCGUAUGUUUUAUAUAAAUCUAAUUGUACUGAUAAUUAGGGUAGGUUUUUAUUUUAUGAAAAUAAAUCGAAAAAAUACUGAAUCGUACCGAAUAAAUUUAUAUGUGAAAAAUAUAUUUAUAUAUUAAGUUUAAAAAUAAUAAAGCAUUAAAUUUCUCCUUUGGCCUUAAGAAUAAUGAAAACGGUUACAAGCCAACAAGUAAUUAAACUCGAAAUCCUAAUUUCCAUACCUAUUAUGCUACUCCUACUGAAACUAAACUAUUUUUAGCAUAUUCACUAGCAAGACACAAAGUAUUCUAGCGAUUAUGAGUAGCAAAUUGUAAUAUAUUGAAUAUGUUUCCUUUCGUAUGAUUUAGAUUUAUCUUUUUGAAUAUUUAAUCUUCUAUAGACUUUUUUCUUGAGUCCCAACUUGGUUAAUAUCUUUCCACUCGUGUGAUUUAUAUUUUCUUUGUCCCAGCUUAGUUUCUUUUACGCUGUUGUAGAAUAGUUAAUGAAUCUAUACUCUGACCAUCUUUCAUAUUUUCUCAAUUCAUCACUCUUUAAACAGUAAAAAUGUCUGGACAGUUUUGCUAAGUCAUAUAAAAGUAUGUAUGUUAUUGCGUUCUACUUCUACUAGUGACUUUUACAUGAUAUUUAAAAAAAUACCAAAAUUUAACUGAACCGUACCGAUACCAUAGAGAAACCGACAUAAUUGGGACGGUUUCAAAAAGUCUAAUUUUGGUUAUACAUAAUAGACUAACCGAAAAAUUAGUAUGGUACAAAUUUUAUAAAAUAACCGGCUCAACCGCCUUAGAUGUGGCUACAUUAGUUACCCAUAUGUGAUUGUCCUUUGACACCUAAUGUUUGAUUAAAUGGGCAUGCAAUGAAAACAUAUGUCAAUGUCAUGACAGAGGUUAAAGUUAGGUUCAAUCAGCUGGAGAGGUUAUUCGUAUUUUCCAUACUAUAUGGCCAUCGACAAGUUCGUUAUCUGGCUGUUUGGACAGGAAAAUAAGGAAAAGAAACAAACUCCAUUUUCUUUAGAUCAAACAGCUGAAAGAAUUGAAGGAAAAAGAAAAGUACAAGAAAAACAACUACGUACAAUUUACCAUGAAUACCCCCAUAAAGUGAAAAAGAAUAUUGGUCAGCUAUUGGAAUCAUGAUCUCCAAGCCAGCCAAUAGGAGCUACAAAGUAAAUUAAGAUUUAUUAGAAUGAGUUGGAGAAAAAAGGAUGCGUAAAGAUGUAUAUAGGUUUACCAAAUGGAUUUAUUAUAGUCACGGCCUACUCCACCUAUAGGUUAUAACCUUAAAUUUUGGUGUGCAUGCUCAAAUAUUUCACAUUCCAGAGCUAAACUUUGGUAAACUUAUUCUCUCAUUUGUAAGUCAUAGCCAGAUUUUUCUUAGCUCUCGUUCCUUCUCCCUUAAGUCCGUUUUCGCUGUUGUUCCCUCUCCACAUCUAGCCAAUUGUGCAUUGUCUCUGCCUACUCCAUUGCUCUAGACUUCUCUCUUUCAAUUAUGCACAUUGAGCCACUUGCUCUACUCCAAGCCCAUUUUUACUCAUUAAGCUAACUCUCUCUCCUCCAAGUCUACCUUCAGCUUGCUGAGCCACUCCAGGCUCCUUAGAAUCAAGCAGGUGAGCAACAAAAAUCAAUAAAAAGAAGAAAAAAUACAUGACUACACCUUUAACCCAAGAGCAGGGUUAUGUUAGAGAUAUAUCAUGUCCUGCAUAGGUAGUUUAAAGGCUUCUACAAGAUUUAUAUAUCAAAAGAAACCAAAUUCCUAAACCAUUGGAGUGUCUUGUGAAGAUAACACUAAUAUGAAUACUGAAGCUACACAUUAUCAAUCUGAAGUGUCAAAGAUGUGAAAACAAAAAAUGACAUGACAAUGAAUUACAGUAAUAAUAAGAAUAAAGUCUAUGAUUAGAGCAAAGUCUCCUAGAUAAAUUGAUUAAAUGAUCGGCGUCAAUGGCCAAAGGUUCACAUUUGGAUCAUAAAUGAUGAUAUGGAUAAAAAUCAUUAAAAUGGAACAAACAUGCCAUGAACCACUGCUAGUUCUCAGGGAUCGGCAUUGUAGAUUUUGUAGGAGGUGAAGAGCAAUGGAGGAAAGGAGCAACAUUAAAGAAUUGCAGACAUUUAGCUUUUUUACCCUUCCAAUUGAUGCUUGACUGGGGAUAUAACAGCAAGCAAGGGCAGCUUCGGGGAACAUAACAUAGGUUUUUGAUGCCUCAAUUCUUCAACGAUGAUUAAAAUUACUCACCUUCAGCAAAUGGUCCUAUGCAUUAGAAAAUCCUCAUAUCAAAUCCCUAUGAAAUGUUAAUAGACGUAAACUACUAUUAAAUUACUCAAGCUUCAGCAAAUCGUCCCUUACUUGUUACAGAAUCCUCAUCUCAAUUCUCUAAGAACCAAAUUUGCCUCGCUUAAAGAGAACCUAACAAGCCGUUAUUUUUGCAUUUGAAGAAUGAGUAUUUAAGAGUUGAAGUUUGGUAAUUGCACGUCUGGAAGGUAAGUUACUUCAAGUGUUAUACAAAAAGUGAACCACACAAUGGAUAUUCCCUCUCAAAAUUAAAUGCAAAGGCUAGAGGCAUGAUGGACCAGGAUCAACCAGAACUUCAGAAACUGUCAUAGUAAAAAUUUAAACAGAGAUGGUAGUAUACCUCAGAGCUGUCUCUCUACCAUGUCGUACCUUCUAAAUAUUCUAGCCCAUGAUUUAUAUUUGCCCUUUUAGGCUAUCCCAGCUUCUUAAUAUUGCUGCAGUGAACUUUGAGCAGACUGGUUUUGCACUCUUAACUCAAGGAAUGCCUAUUUAGUAACCCACCAUCAAUAGCAAUGACUCAGAGAAAAUUAGUUGUCAAAAAGGAUAUAGUUCUAAUAAUAUAGAUAUGUUGAGGCACUUAACAACUUUAAGAAUUUUAACUAGCUCAUGAUUGAGGAGAAGUGCAGUAAUGGCAUCAAUACCAUUUUUCCCUUAAGAAACAUUUGGAUGCUGGGAAUGGGAUCUUCGAAUGAACAACGUUGAAGCCAGUUGUUCAUAAAAUAUGAUAGGUUGUGAUAGUUAACAGGUUCAUGUGAAAGAACAUUCAGAUUUUUCUUACCAAAAUGAAAAGCACUAAAUCAAGGCACAGAAACAUUACCUGUGCACCAAAGAGGUGAGUACCGGCACGUUAAUGAUGGAUCUAUCUGCUGCUCGUAACAUUAAUAUCUCUGAAGCUUCAAGCAGCAAGGAUUGAAUUACAGUGCCUCACAUCUUAUGAUCAUGUUUCUUAUCUUUAGUGUAAGUGAUGGAGUAAUAUCUUGAAAAAUAAAAUUUCUCCCUUACUUUUCCUUUCCCAAAUUUUCAGCAAAGCAGGUAACCACCAGAGCUCAUGUUAAUUGUUAAAUUAGAAACUGUUAUACAUGGUUACAACUUAUUUCAAUUAUGUCAAGAUAAUGCAUCAGCUACAAGAAAGUAUGAGCAUUCAAUUUGAAAUAUGUAUCCGGCAUCCUUCAUUGGAUCUACAAGUUUAAGAAGCAACUCUUUUAUUUCUUCUAACCGACUGUGGGACUUGUCUUUAGUGAUAAACUUAUGUCUGAUAUUUUUUAUCUCAAUCCAACUAUAAGCUGCUUCUUUCACCAAUCCUCUGUCAUCCAUGUACCUUCGCAGACUACGGGCAUCAUCCCACCUUCCUGCUGCUGCAUAGAUGUUGGAUAACAUAAUAUACCUGGCAGCAUUAUCAGGUUCUAGCUCAAAUAGAUCUUCUGCUGCCCUUCUAGC